GCAUAUCAAAAGCGGAGGAAAAGAAACCAACAGGGAUUGCCUUAGUAGCGGCGAGUGAAGCGGCAAAAGCUCAAAUUUGAAAUCUGGCUCUUUCAGAGUCCGAGUUGUAAUUUGAAGAAGGUAUCUUUGGGUCUGGCUCUUGUCUAUGUUUCUUGGAACAGAACGUCACAGAGGGUGAGAAUCCCGUGCGAUGAGAUGAUCCAGGCCUAUGUAAAGUUCCUUCGAAGAGUCGAGUUGUUUGGGAAUGCAGCUCUAAGUGGGUGGUAAAUUCCAUCUAAAGCUAAAUAUUGGCGAGAGACCGAUAGCGAACAAGUACAGUGAUGGAAAGAUGAAAAGAACUUUGAAAAGAGAGUGAAAAAGUACGUGAAAUUGUUGAAAGGGAAGGGCUUGAGAUCAGACUUGGUAUUUUGUAUGUUACUUCUUCGGGGGUGGCCUCUACAGUUUAUCGGGCCAGCAUCAGUUUGGGCGGUAGGAGAAUUGCGUUGGAAUGUGGCACGGCUUCGGUUGUGUGUUAUAGCCUUCGUCGAUACUGCCAGCCUAGACUGAGGACUGCGGUUUAUACCUAGGAUGUUGGCAUAAUGAUCUUAAGUCGCCCGUCUUGAACCACGGACCGC
Molecule: ribosomal RNA, 614 nt
Filed under: Candida tropicalis
Lineage: Eukaryota; Fungi; Ascomycota; Pichiomycetes; Serinales; Debaryomycetaceae
Description: eukaryotic LSU rRNA
Rfam family: Eukaryotic large subunit ribosomal RNA
Source: RNAcentral